Molecule: unclassified non-coding RNA, 694 nt
Filed under: Homo sapiens (human)
Lineage: Eukaryota; Metazoa; Chordata; Mammalia; Primates; Hominidae
Description: complement C2 (multiple genes)
Source: RNAcentral
UUCCUUAUUGAGAAGGCGGUGAUCUCCCCAGGGUUUGAUGUCUUUGCCAAAAAGAACCAGGGAAUCCUGGAGUUCUAUGGUGAUGACAUAGCUCUGCUGAAGCUGGCCCAGAAAGUAAAGAUGUCCACCCAUGCCAGGCCCAUCUGCCUUCCCUGCACGAUGGAGGCCAAUCUGGCUCUGCGGAGACCUCAAGGCAGCACCUGUAGGGACCAUGAGAAUGAACUGCUGAACAAACAGAGUGUUCCUGCUCAUUUUGUCGCCUUGAAUGGGAGCAAACUGAACAUUAACCUUAAGAUGGGAGUGGAGUGGACAAGCUGUGCCGAGGUUGUCUCCCAAGAAAAAACCAUGUUCCCCAACUUGACAGAUGUCAGGGAGGUGGUGACAGACCAGUUCCUAUGCAGUGGGACCCAGGAGGAUGAGAGUCCCUGCAAGGGAGAAUCUGGGGGAGCAGUUUUCCUUGAGCGGAGAUUCAGGUUUUUUCAGCUGAGUAAAUCCGGGUCUCUAGGAUGCCAGAGGCAGCGCACACAAGCUGGGAAAUCCUCAGGGCUCCUACCAGCAGGACUGCCUCGCUGCCCCACCUCCCGCUCCUUGGCCUGUCCCCAGAUUCCUUCCCUGGUUGACUUGACUCAUGCUUGUUUCACUUUCACAUGGAAUUUCCCAGUUAUGAAAUUAAUAAAAAUCAAUGGUUUCCACA